AUGUGAUAGUUAAGCUUCAGUCUUUAGUUUAUUUCACUUCAAAUUACAGGCUCAACGUACUUUAGUUUUUCUAAGUUGAGCAUUUCAGAGAAGAGAUUUCGCCUCAGUCAAUAUGAUUUAAAGUAGAUAUCUAUUAGCAUUAACCUGACAAAGGCUCUCAACUCGGUUGUCACAGCACGUUUAUACUCCCAUCUUGAUGCAAUAAGGAGAACAGCAAUGAGAAGACAUGCAUUGAAACUGCAACCACUACAGAGCUGACGUCCUGGAGGAAGAGAUAGCUUUCAGUAUACAUCGCUGGGAGGGCAGUAUAAAACUUAAUACAAUUAGCUUCUGAUGGCUUUUGUCAGCUAAGGUAAACAUAUGGUCAUCUUUGUUAAAGAAGAUAAAUAGCUGCACUAUCUACAUGGAAAGAUACCACAGUUCCUAGUACUGCAUUGAACUGCUAAAGAAGAUACAACUUUUAAAUGUCUGAUACAAUUUAUUUAAUCAAAUACUUAUAAUUUUUAUAUAAAAGCACAUGUCAUGUAAUAUAAAUAAAUUGAGCAAUGUUGAUAUUCACUUCACUACAAAUUUUGCAAUUCUAUAUCGCAA
Chinchilla lanigera (long-tailed chinchilla) is the source of this 591-nucleotide long non-coding RNA. RefSeq lists it as uncharacterized. Lineage: Eukaryota; Metazoa; Chordata; Mammalia; Rodentia; Chinchillidae. The transcript is spliced from 4 exons. The record is from RefSeq and is a predicted model, not a curated record.